GCUGAGUGUGCCUGCAGGCCCUGGGCACUGCAGCUCCCAUUCUCCUGGACAGCACUGUCCUCUGGGCCUGCCCAGCCCCCUCAGGCACACUCAGCCUGCUGCUUGCUGUGAACUGGCGGUCAGGAGAAGUGUGCUAUAUUUCACAGGUCCUACUCGGUUACAGUGGGUAAAGUAGUAACUCUUGAUACUGUGGGAGGAACAUUAUUGAACAGGGGUGAGAAAAAGCAAGUGAAAGAACAGUUCCUUGCACUGUCCUCUGGGGGACUGCUAAAGAAAAUCUAGUUCCGAAGUUCUGAGACUGAUAAUAGCUAAAGAGACAUGUCCAAAAGCUUGGUUUUGUUGUUAAUUUAUUUUCUGUUUUCUGUUUCUAGGAGGUAUAGUAUGAGUUCAAUACUGAACAACAAAGCUGUUUGUUAAAGUCAUCUCUGCACCCUGGAAUUGUGUUUUUCCAGGAGUGACUGUGGCUGGGUGCAGAAGGAACACUUGCUGUUUGCCUGUCUCUCAUUAUUGUGGUUUUUGAAACUGCUUGGGAAAUCUGAACUGAGGGGAACAGAACCUACAGCAUUUCUCUUAAGCAAAGUUUGAAGCAGUACUUCAUGCAGAGCUACCAGUCUCAUCCAAAGCAAAGUAAACCAAAAAAAAUCUUUCACAUAAGUAGAAUUUCAUUUCAUUGAUGAAGAUUGAAAAAAAGGUCAAAACAAAUAAUAGUGACACUAAGACCAGACUUGCUCGAGCUCAUUUUAGCUCAGUGACCAUGCAAGCCAGCUGAAUGUUGCAGGGACAUUUGGUGGUAUAAAUCAAACACUCCUGCUUCGCAUGUAAAACACGGAUGGGAUUAAACCAAGUCUGUCUUUCCUGGGGAAGUGUCAGAUGCAGAGUGUUCCCUGUGCAGAGAUUUCACAGCUCUGACUGUGGCCCUCAAAGGAAGGAAAUGUUAUCACAACAAACGUUUCCAGAAAUCUCAAAAUCAGCAAAAGAAAAGCCACACCUUUGGAUGAGGGGAAAUGCUCAAGGUGGAAUCAGUAGAGGUGAUUUGUGAGCAUCUGAGGAGCAUCAAGGAGCAGAACCGUUCCAUGGUGGUAUCAGAGGCCCUGGCAGCGAGUGUCACAGGAAUGCGAAUCUGUCCACAUCUCAAACCAGAGAGAACAUGAAGUAUUAAACAUAGACUUUUUAAUUAUCCAUCUGUGAAAUCUCACAAGCUGCUGUUGAUUAUUAACUCUCACACUUGUGGGUGUCCAUGGGGCUGCUAAAUAUAUGUUGCACUGCUUUAUUUGUUUCAGAAAAAGGAAGGCAAAAUGGAUGGACUAGAAAAAGAGAAUAAAGAUCUUUUAGAUAAUUCUUCUUCUACAUCCCAGGAGAGAGCUGAGAGCUCAUGGGUUGUGAUCCAGAUCAGGAGGGUAUUAUAACACAGAAAUAAUACAUUGUGUUUUGAAUGAAAAAAUGUAUUGUAUAAGUCAAAUUAGGAUUCAACACUGGAUCACAACAUUUUAAACCUUUUAAUUUACAUUCGUAAGGUGAUCCAACUCAAGACACAUUUGACAACAAAAGAAAAAAUAAUCUUUUUGAACACAUACUUCCUGUUAGCUCCUUAAUAGACUUUUUCUCUUUUCAAAGCUGAAAUAAAUAAAAGAUGGGAAAAAAUCAAUAUGUAAACAGGUGAAGAAAUUUAUUGGCUGAGAGUGUGGGCAGAACUAAUUUAGAUAAGGCUGUGCUUCUGCAGUAAUCCAAGGUUUCGAAAUAACCUCCUUUGCAAAUGUUUGACCUUAAUAAACCACAGUGGAUGAAGAUGUACCAGAAAAGUUUGCUUCACUUCUGGUACUUAUUGAUUAACUAAAAACAUAGGUAUUAUUUGCUUUAAUCAAAUUUUCUUUUUUUUUUUAAAAGACUUGUUAGCCUAAAUGUUCUUCCUGGAACAAGAUACCAGUUCUUUGACCAGUAUCUCAUUUAGAGGUUUUAUUUGGAAUUUUGUAGGAGAAAGCAUUUUUAUCCCAUUGGUUUCAGCUCUAUGGAAGUUCAAUAGUGAGGAUCUUUUUUUUUGAGAACAAGCAGUCCAUUAAAAGAAC
Cyanistes caeruleus (blue tit) is the source of this 2063-nucleotide non-coding RNA. NCBI's taxonomy places the organism in Eukaryota, Metazoa, Chordata, Aves, Passeriformes, Paridae. The record is from RefSeq and is a predicted model, not a curated record.